Molecule: ribosomal RNA, 301 nt
Filed under: uncultured bacterium
Lineage: Bacteria
Description: partial 16S ribosomal RNA
Rfam family: Bacterial small subunit ribosomal RNA
Source: RNAcentral
CAGUCGCCACGGGAAUACGUAGGUGGCAAGCGUUGUCCGGAAUUAUUGGGCGUAAAGGGCUCGCAGGCGGUUUCUUAAGUCUGAUGUGAAAGCCCCCGGCUCAACCGGGGAGGGUCAUUGGAAACUGGGAAACUUGAGUGCAGAAGAGGAGAGUGGAAUUCCACGUGUAGCGGUGAAAUGCGUAGAGAUGUGGAGGAACACCAGUGGCGAAGGCGACUCUCUGGUCUGUAACUGACGCUGAGGAGCGAAAGCGUGGGGAGCGAACAGGAUUAGAUACCCCGGUAGUCCCUGUCUCUUAUAA